Molecule: ribosomal RNA, 405 nt
Filed under: uncultured prokaryote
Description: bacterial SSU rRNA
Rfam family: Bacterial small subunit ribosomal RNA
Source: RNAcentral
UCGAGAAUUUUUCACAAUGGGGGAAACCCUGAUGGAGCGACGCCGCGUGGAGGACGAAGGCCUUCGGGUCGUAAACUCCUGUCAUGCGGGAACAAGAAAGUGAUAGUACCGCAAGAGGAAGAGACGGCUAACUCUGUGCCAGCAGCCGCGGUAAUACAGAGGUCUCAAGCGUUGUUCGGAUUCAUUGGGCGUAAAGGGUGCGCAGGCGGCGUGGAAAGUUGAGUGUGAAAUCCUGGGGCUCAACCUCAGAACUGCACUCAAUACUCCCAUGCUAGAGGAAUGUAGAGGAGAGUGGAAUUCACGGUGUAGCAGUGAAAUGCGUAGAUAUCGUGAGGAAGACCAGUUGCGAAGGCGACUCUCUGGGCAUUUCCUGACGCUCAUGCACGAAGGCCAGGGGAGCAAACG